Molecule: long non-coding RNA, 305 nt
Organism: Arabidopsis lyrata subsp. lyrata
Lineage: Eukaryota; Viridiplantae; Streptophyta; Magnoliopsida; Brassicales; Brassicaceae
Exons: 2
Source: RefSeq, a predicted model, not a curated record
GAUUCCCUCAACCAAUCCGCCGUCGAUGAACUUACUGACAUAAGUGAUAUUGCGAGAGACAGACUCAUCCUCGUUCAACACAACCUCGAUUAAAGCUAGAAUAAGACAGUCGGAGCUUGCCGUCGCUGAGACCGCCGCACACAGUCGAUCAUGCAACCACACUUAUUUUUGUCAAAACCCUAAUAUUUUAUUGGGUUGGGCUAUAAACUGUAUGUUGGGUUUUUGUUAAAUGUAUAUUGGGCUUUUUAUCUAAUUUGUAAUGGUUUUUUUAAUUCGAUUUGUAAUAGUGCAAAUGUCUUUUUUUU